Molecule: ribosomal RNA, 253 nt
Filed under: uncultured bacterium
Lineage: Bacteria
Description: partial 16S ribosomal RNA
Rfam family: Bacterial small subunit ribosomal RNA
Source: RNAcentral
UACGCAGGGUGCGAGCGUUAAUCGGAAUUACUGGGCGUAAAGCGUGCGCAGGCGGUUCGUUGUGUCGGCGGUGAAAGCCCCGGGCUCAACCUGGGAAUGGCCGUUGAAACUGGCGAACUGGAGUGUGGCAGAGGGGGGUGGAAUUCCGCGUGUAGCAGUGAAAUGCGUAGAGAUGCGGAGGAACACCGAUGGCGAAGGCAGCCCCCUGGGCUGACACUGACGCUCAGGCACGAAAGCGUGGGGAGCAAACAGG